UAUAAUCUAGUGAUUUAACUUUCAGAAUGUUGCUUAAUGAUAAUCUUAUUGAUUCAUCAAUUUCUGCAUAUUUGAAUCUCUGCAAAAGGAUUUAUGUCUAAUACUUGUUAUAUAUUAAUUUGUUUUGCACAUUUACUUUCUUGUUUAGCUUUAGAAAACAAACAAAUGACAUCGAGCUAAUUUCUGAAUUGGCUAAUACGAAAAGAGUUUAUGUUCCCCAAUUACCUUCGCAUGGGCUAAUAUGUCUAAAGCUUCCUUUCUUUUUCUUUUUUU
Molecule: long non-coding RNA, 273 nt
Filed under: Brassica rapa (field mustard)
Lineage: Eukaryota; Viridiplantae; Streptophyta; Magnoliopsida; Brassicales; Brassicaceae
Description: long non-coding RNA (BRAP_LNC000509)
Source: RNAcentral